RNAcentral lists this ribosomal RNA (245 nucleotides) under uncultured bacterium. Its description in RNAcentral is "partial 16S ribosomal RNA". It matches the Rfam family "Bacterial small subunit ribosomal RNA", at positions 107 to 353 of the family's 1533-position model. The record is from RNAcentral.
UGAGUAAUGUCUGGGAAACUGCCUGAUGGAGGGGGAUAACUACUGGAAACGGUAGCUAAUACCGCAUAACGUCGCAAGACCAAANAGGGGGACCCUCGGGCCUCUUGCCAUCGGAUGUGCCCAGAUGGGAUUAGCUUGUUGGUGGGGUAACGGCUCACCAAGGCGACGAUCCCUAGCUGGUCUGAGAGGAUGACCAGCCACACUGGAACUGAGACACGGUCCAGACUCCUACGGGAGGCAGCAUG